CGCCCCUGUGAGAACGCCCUUAAUCUUCUUCUUGAAACAAGGAGCUGGUAUCAGGCACAAUUAUUAGCCCAAGACACCUAGCUAUGCCACAUCCACAUGGAAAUUCAGCAGUAAUUAACAUUGAGUAUAAGCGUCAGCUUGACUCAGUUAAAGUAAAGAGGGCCGGCAAAUAUGGUGCCAGCCGCCGCGGUUACACCACGAGGCUCAAAUUGAUUACUUUCGGCGUAAAGCGUGAUUAAAGUUAUUCACCACUAUAGUUAUAUUUUAACUAAGCUGUGACACGCUUGUUCCUAAGAAACUCAGAAACGAAAGUUACUAUAUAUAAUUCAACUUGAACCCACGACAGCUGAGACACAAACUGGGAUUAGAUACCCCCUAUGCUCAGCCGUAAACUUUAAAUUACUCCUUAUCGCCAGGGGAACUAC
Molecule: ribosomal RNA, 425 nt
Filed under: Dryophytes avivoca (bird-voiced treefrog)
Lineage: Eukaryota; Metazoa; Chordata; Amphibia; Anura; Hylidae
Description: partial 12S ribosomal RNA
Source: RNAcentral